Molecule: ribosomal RNA, 436 nt
Filed under: uncultured bacterium
Lineage: Bacteria
Description: bacterial SSU rRNA
Rfam family: Bacterial small subunit ribosomal RNA
Source: RNAcentral
AUGGGAACGCGAAGAACCUUACCUAGACUUGACAUCUCCUGAAUAGUGUAGAGAUACAUGAAGCCCUUCGGGGCAGGAAGACAGGUGGUGCAUGGUUGUCGUCAGCUCGUGUCGCGAGAUGUUGGGUUAAGUCCCGCAACGAGCGCAACCCUUAUUACUAGUUGCUACCAUUAAGUUGAGCACUCUAGCGAGACUGCCCGGGUUAACCGGGAGGAAGGUGGGGAUGACGUCAAAUCAUCAUGCCCCUUAUGUCUAGGGCUACACACGUGCUACAAUGGCUGGUACAGAGAGAUGCUAAACCGCGAGGUGGAGCCAAACUUUAAAACCAGUCUCAGUUCGGAUUGUAGGCUGAAACUCGCCUACAUGAAGCUGGAGUUGCUAGUAAUCGCGAAUCAGAAUGUCGCGGUGAAUACGUUCCCGGGUCUUGUACACACCG